AGUAGUUGAUCAGUGGCUACAGGACGAACGCUGGCGGCACGCUUAACACAUGCAAGUCGAACGGAGUAAUUUUGGUUACUGAGAAUUCUUAGUGGCGGACGGGUGAGUAACACGUGAGCAACCUGCCUCUGAGAGAGGGAUAGCUUCUGGAAACGGAUGGUAAUACCUCAUAAUAUAAUUGAACCGCAUGAUUUGAUUAUCAAAGAUUUAUCACUCAGAGAUGGGCUCGCGUCUGAUUAGAUAGUUGGUGAGGUAACGGCUCACCAAGUCGACGAUCAGUAGCCGGACUGAGAGGUUGAACGGCCACAUUGGGACUGAGACACGGCCCAGACUCCUACGGGAGGCAGCAGUGGGGAAUAUUGCACAAUGGGGGAAACCCUGAUGCAGCGAUGCCGCGUGGAGGAAGAAGGUUUUCGGAUUGUAAACUCCUGUCUUAAAGGACGAUAAUGACGGUACUUUAGGAGGAAGCUCCGGCUAACUACGUGCCAGCCGCCGC
Molecule: ribosomal RNA, 496 nt
Filed under: uncultured bacterium
Lineage: Bacteria
Description: bacterial SSU rRNA
Rfam family: Bacterial small subunit ribosomal RNA
Source: RNAcentral